GCCGGGUGCAGUGGUGCACGCCUGUAAUCCUAGCAGCUCAGGAGGCUGAGGUAGGAGGAUCACAAGUUCAAAGCCAGCCUCAG
RNAcentral lists this small RNA (83 nucleotides) under Marmota monax (woodchuck). Lineage: Eukaryota; Metazoa; Chordata; Mammalia; Rodentia; Sciuridae. The record is from RNAcentral.